CAGCAGCAGCCGCGGGAAUACGAAGGGUGCAAGCGUUACUCGGAAUUACUGGGCGUAAAGGGUGUGUAGGUGGUUGUUUAAGUCUGUCGUGAAAGCCCUGGGCUCAACCUGGGAAUUACAGUGGAUACUGGGUCACUAGAGUGUGGUAGAGGAUAGUGGAAUUUCCGGUGUAGCAGUGAAAUGCGUAGAGAUCGGAAGGAACAUCUGUGGCGAAGGCGACUAUCUGGGCCAACACUGACACUGAGGCACGAAAGCGUGGGGAGCAAACAGGAUUAGAUACCCCCGUAGUCCCUGUCUCUUAUAC
RNAcentral lists this ribosomal RNA (304 nucleotides) under uncultured bacterium. RNAcentral describes it as "partial 16S ribosomal RNA". It matches the Rfam family "Bacterial small subunit ribosomal RNA", at positions 506 to 807 of the family's 1533-position model. The record is from RNAcentral.